GCAAGCUGAGAAGGGCAUGCGAAGGAUGCCUAGGCGAUAGGAGGCGAAGAAGGACGCGGAUGGCUGCGAAAAGUCACGGGGAGCCGCCAAUCAGGCAUAGAUCCGUGGGUAUCCGAAUGGGAAAACCCGCAUAAGUGAAGAACUUAUGCAUUCAGUGAUGAAUCCAUAGUUGCUGAAAGCCGACCCAGGGAAGUGAAACAUCUCAGUACCUGGAGGAAAAGAAAGAAAAAUCGAUUCCGCAAGUAGUGGCGAGCGAACGCCGAAAAACAAGCCCAAACCGUACAUAUGAAAAUGUGUAAGGGGUAGCGGGGCCGCAGAAGGGACUGGACGAGAUAGGCGAACAGGCUGGGAAGCCUGGCGAAAAAGCGUGAGAGCCGCGUAGCCGAAAUUUCGGAGAGCCUGGCGGGGACCCCAAGUAGCACGGAGCACGAGGAAUUCUGUGCGAAUCAGCGAGGACCAUCUCGUAAGGCUAAAUACUACCUAUCGACCGAUAGUGGACAAGUACCGUGAGGGAAAGGUGAAAAGAACCCCGGUGAGGGGAGUUCAAAGACCCUGAAAUCGCAUGCCUACAAGCAGCUCGAGGGCUACGCCGGAGCGAUCCGGAAUGCCUGAGAGUGUACCUUUUGCAUCAUGAAUCGGCGACUUAAUGUACGUAGCGAGGUUAAGCCGGUAGGUGGAGCCGAAGCGAAAGCGAGUCCGAAAAGGGCGAAUAGUUGCGUGUAUUAUAACCCGAAGCGAGAUGAUCUAUGCAUGGCCAGGGUGAAGCGGUGGUAAAGCAGCGUGGAGGCCCGAACUCGUGAAGGUUGAAAACUUCUGAGAUGAGCUGUGCAUAGGGGUGAAAGGCCAAUCAAAUCUCGUGAUAGCUGGUUCUCCUCGAAAGAUAUUUAGGUAUCGCCUUGCGUAUCACUAAUGGAGGUAGAGCACUGGAACGGCUAGGGGUCCCACCAGACUACCAAACCGUACCAAACUCCGAAUGCCAUUAAGUGGAGCGCAGGAGGCAGUCGCUGGGUGAUAACGUUCAGCGGCAAAAGGGGAACAACCCAGACCGACGGCUAAGGUCCCGAAGUCCAGGCUAAGUGAAGAGAAGGAUGUGGCAGGACAGAGACAGCCAGGAGGUUGGCCUAGAAGCAGCCAUCCUUCAAAGAAAGCGUAAUAGCUCACUGGUCAAGUCAAGCCGCGCCGAAAAUAUAACGGGGCUCAAGCCUGGCACCGAAGCCACGGGUGCAUAUGAAAAUAUGUGCGGUAGAGGAGCGUCGCAUGUGGAGAGAAGGUCGACCGGAAGGGCGGCUGGACCGCAUGGGAGUGCUGAUGCCGAUAUGAGUAGCGAUAAGGCGUGUGAGAUUCACGCCCGCCGAAAAUCCAAGGUUUCCUGGGGCAGGCCGAUCCGCCCAGGGUUAGCCGGAUCCUAAGCUGAGGCCGAAGGGCGUAGGCGAUGGGCAGCAGGUUGAUAUUCCUGCGCUGUCUGAAAGUUGAUUGAUACGAGGCGUAACGGAGAAGGGUAGCCGGCCGGUAGAUGGAGCAGCCGGUGGGGCAUCAUAGGGGCAAGACGUACGAGAAAAAGGCGUUUUGGCGAAAGCGACCCUGAGGGUGUCACCUCCGCAAGGAGCAGGUAAUCCCAGGCUUCCAAGAAAAGCGUCGCGGGUAGACUGAAGACAACCGUACCGCAGACCGACUCAGGUGGAUGAGGAGAAAAUCCUAAGGCGACUGAGAGAACUCUCUCCAAGGAACUCGGCAAAUUGCCACCGUAACUUCGGAAGAAGGUGGGCUCGUGGGCGUGAGGCGAUGCAACGCGUCAAGCGCCUGUGAGACGCAGCGAAAUAGGGGUUGCGACUGUUUACCAAAAACACAGGACCCUGCAAACACGCUAAGUGGACGUAUAGGGUCUGACACCUGCCCGGUGCCGGAAGGUUAAGGGGAUUUGUCAGCCGCAAGGCGAAGCGAUGAACCGAAGCCCCGGUAAACGGCGGCCGUAACUAUAACGGUCCUAAGGUAGCGAAAUUCCUUGUCGGGUAAGUUCCGACCUGCACGAAAGGUGUAACGACAUCCCCGCUGUCUCGGAGAGGGACUCAGCGAAAUUGAAAUAGCUGUGCAGAUGCAGUUUACCUGCAGCAAGACGGAAAGACCCCGUGAACCUUUACUAUA
This 2142-nucleotide ribosomal RNA is filed under the name gut metagenome. RNAcentral describes it as "bacterial LSU rRNA". It matches the Rfam family "Bacterial large subunit ribosomal RNA", at positions 1 to 2108 of the family's 2925-position model. The record is from RNAcentral.